Molecule: ribosomal RNA, 450 nt
Filed under: uncultured bacterium
Lineage: Bacteria
Description: bacterial SSU rRNA
Rfam family: Bacterial small subunit ribosomal RNA
Source: RNAcentral
AGCGAACGCUGGCGGCAGGCUUAACACAUGCAAGUCGAACGCACCGCAAGGUGAGUGGCAGACGGGUGAGUAACACGUGGGAACGUGCCCUUCGGUUCGGAAUAACUCAGGGAAACUUGAGCUAAUACCGGAUACGCCCUUACGGGGAAAGGUUUACUGCCGAAGGAUCGGCCCGCGUCUGAUUAGCUAGUUGGUGAGGUAAUGGCUCACCAAGGCGACGAUCAGUAGCUGGUCUGAGAGGAUGAUCAGCCACACUGGGACUGAGACACGGCCCAGACUCCUACGGGAGGCAGCAGUGGGGAAUAUUGGACAAUGGGCGAAAGCCUGAUCCAGCCAUGCCGCGUGAGUGAUGAAGGCCUUAGGGUUGUAAAGCUCUUUUGUCCGGGAAGAUAAUGACUGUACCGGAAGAAUAAGCCCCGGCUAACUUCGUGCCAGCCGCCGCCGUAAAAC